This 62-nucleotide small RNA is filed under the name Enterobacter kobei. Its description in RNAcentral is "Pseudomonas sRNA P26". It matches the Rfam family "Pseudomonas sRNA P26". Rfam says of the family: P26 is conserved across many Gammaproteobacteria species and appears to be consistently located between the DNA directed RNA polymerase (beta subunit) and 50S ribosomal protein L7/L12 genes. The record is from RNAcentral. Lineage: Bacteria; Pseudomonadati; Pseudomonadota; Gammaproteobacteria; Enterobacterales; Enterobacteriaceae.
ACCCUUCCGGUUGCAGCCUGAAAAAUCAGGCUGAUGGCUGGUGACUUUUUGGUCACCAGCCU